This 723-nucleotide ribosomal RNA is filed under the name uncultured bacterium. RNAcentral describes it as "bacterial SSU rRNA". It matches the Rfam family "Bacterial small subunit ribosomal RNA", at positions 141 to 850 of the family's 1533-position model. The record is from RNAcentral.
GGAUAACACUUGGAAACAGGUGCUAAUACCGUAUAACACUAUUUUCCGCAUGGAAGAAAGUUGAAAGGCGCUUUUGCGUCACUGAUGGAUGGACCCGCGGUGCAUUAGCUAGUUGGUGAGGUAACGGCUCACCAAGGCCACGAUGCAUAGCCGACCUGAGAGGGUGAUCGGCCACACUGGGACUGAGACACGGCCCAGACUCCUACGGGAGGCAGCAGUAGGGAAUCUUCGGCAAUGGACGAAAGUCUGACCGAGCAACGCCGCGUGAGUGAAGAAGGUUUUCGGAUCGUAAAACUCUGUUGUUAGAGAAGAACAAGGAUGAGAGUAGAACGUUCAUCCCUUGACGGUAUCUAACCAGAAAGCCACGGCUAACUACGUGCCAGCAGCCGCGGUAAUACGUAGGUGGCAAGCGUUGUCCGGAUUUAUUGGGCGUAAAGCGAGCGCAGGCGGUUUCUUAAGUCUGAUGUGAAAGCCCCCGGCUCAACCGGGGAGGGUCAUUGGAAACUGGGAGACUUGAGUGCAGAAGAGGAGAGUGGAAUUCCAUGUGUAGCGGUGAAAUGCGUAGAUAUAUGGAGGAACACCAGUGGCGAAGGCGGCUCUCUGGUCUGUAACUGACGCUGAGGCUCGAAAGCGUGGGGAGCGAACAGGAUUAGAUACCCUGGUAGUCCACGCCGUAAACGAUGAGUGAUAAGUGUUGGAGGGUUUCCGCCCUUCAGUGCUGCA